UCACCAAAGGUGCGUGCAACCAUUGGUAGGCUCAGGCCAGUGAUGGUUUAUAUGCAUGAUGCGUGCCUAGGAUUACGGCAAUUGGCUCUAAACCGCAUCCAAAGAGAGGAUGUAUAAGCAAGAUUCUGCAAGCUUCAGUCAGAAAAAGAAAUUACCCUAUCACCUCAAGGACAGACACAAGCAAAGAGAAGUUUUAAAGAUCCCUGAACUGAAGUCACACCCUUGGGUGGUUUCUGUUGAAACAAAAAGGUUGUCCUUUGCCUGCUUCCUGAAAACUGGGGGCUAAAAUUAAAGAUAUUUACCUGGUCACAGGAGGUGGGGGGAACUUCAGCACUUGUUUUUAUGGGUCUUCAUCAGCUUCCCCAUCAUUAAGUUGCUGCAUGUCUUCACAGGGAUGACUAACAGUUCACCAGGAAGGUGUGUGGACCACUAACGUCACAACUUUUAUCAAGGCAAAGCUGGCAUUAGUGUGCAUGCACUGGAUGUCAACUAAAGAGACACUGGCUCCUGUCUUUAAUGACACUCAGAGAAAACACUCAAGGACCACUGAAAAGCCACAAAGAAUGCCACAACUUUGACUUUCUUUUUUCAAGAUGUUUUAAGCAAAGCUACUGCCCUGGGAUGCCCUUUCAAGUCCUGCAUUUACUUGCUUUUAACGCCUGAUAUUUACCAACUGUCAGGACAAGCAUCCUUGCAAACAUUGUAGUCAGCAUGUACAGCAGCAUAGGAUGACAGAUCCCAGCAUGCUUCCAGGGAAAUUUACAUUCCUUAAACAUAACAAAUCACCCAUAUUGCUUUAAAUAUUCUUUUCAAGUAUAUUAAAGAUUAAUGAAAAACCAAGACAAAAAACCAUAUAGAAGCAGAAAAGCAGACAGUUAAAUAAUUCUUAUUUUGGACAUCUAUCAGCUAUACAAAAACGUACUUUUACAGUCAAUCUGGCUUUUAUUAAGCUAUUGUGAGGUGCUGCCAUAUAUUAAUAAAUCAGCAUAUAUUAUGGAUUAAUUCCAUACUAAGACAUGCUUCCUAAAAUCCCAGCUCUGUAUGGAGCCGUUAUUCCCAUAAGGAAAGCUGUCUGGCUAUUCAGUUUUAUUAGUUCAAAUGAAGUCAAUUUUUGGAACACCUAAGGUCAUUUUUCUCCACUGUCUAGAGCUGACAUUAUCCAUUUGUGUUUCUACAUAUUCCCUGCAUGAUACACCUUUCUCAUGGUGAUUUGGAGCCCAUCUCCUGGCAGCAUCAGCCCGGCAUUGCCACCGCUUCUCUGUUUGAGCCUGUCCUCCAGGCCACUGGCUUCUCUCCCACUUUUUUCAUGUCUUCAUCAGAAUUUACACAUUCUUUCCUUUUAUUUUUUUAAUGAAUCCAUUGUGAAAGCAGACGCAGAUAAUAUCUUUCAGUGGAAGACAGUGAUAUAAAUUAAACUUUAAUCUGUUCCUUGGAAAGUUUGCAGAGAACAUCGUUGGAGGAUUUAUUUCUUCUAAGGAAACUCUCCCAAAUGAAACACACCUCAGGCAGCAGUCUUAAGAUCCCACUUUUCCCAGCAUGUAAAGCUCCAUGGGAGAUUUGUUGUUAUGCUAGAUGGCACAGUAAGAUAUUAUGGCAAUGGAUUUAGGGGAGUGCUGGAGCAAGGAACAAUAGACUAUAAUAAUUUGGAGAAAAAUUCAGUUUUAUGUAUUUUUCUGCAUAAUAAGUAAAACUGUAAAAGACCAGCUGUGAAGUCACAUGAGUGCAGCCUGGGUUCGGGGGCUGGGGGGCUUGCUGCAGUCCAGGGGCAGUGGGGCAUGGCCCUGCAGAGGCACUGUCUCCUAUUCAGCAGCCCCUUGUUCCCACAGGGGGCAAGAGUCUGGGAUCGCUAUGCUAGACAGGCACGGAUUUCCCAGAGCAGGCAGGGGGGGAAAAGGGGCGCAGAGUGCUCAGGCUGGGCUCUUGGUGGGCAUCAGAGGUGGGAGCGAGGGCAAGGCAAGGGCACCUUACCCACCUCCGGGGUCUUCACAAAGGUGCAAAGGCUCCAGGAAAGGAAGAUGCAGCGUGGGGGACAGCAAGUCUGCAGGAACCGUGCUUGAAGAGCUGCAGCUGCUAAAAACGAGUUGGUGGCUCAUGCAGAAUGGCCAUUUCUAGCCACACCAAGGAGGGAGCGGGGAGAAGGCGGAGGGGGGUUCCUCCCACCUGCCAGCCCAGGCUAAGAGCCCACCAGGGCUGACACGGUGAGGGGCUUCCACAUGGCCAUGCACCAUGCCCUAGGGUCAGACCCUGGUUUGGGGCCGGCGUGCAUAAAUCCCGAACAGGCUGCAGGAGAUCUGCUGGCAGGGCUGCGAGCUGGACUGUCCUGCCCUAGGGAAGCUCCCCCUGCCUGAGUGCUUAAAUGCCCAAACGAGGAAGCAAAGAGCUGCUAGCCUUUGUCAUGAGCCUGGUGAUAAGCUGUCAAAAGAGGAUCAGGUUGGUCAACAAUGGAAUUUCUGACUAGAAGCGAUAAUGCUCUGAAAUAUGUUUCCGUUCUGAACUUGAACAAAACAGCAAUAUUUUUUUCCAAAACAAGUGCAAUUAUAACCAGCAAUUCUUGUAAAAUACAUUUUGAUUGGACUUCAGAGGGAAUGGAAAAGAUUCUUUUGGGGAUGUGGCUUGUGUUCAGGGAUUUGAUUGUUUUUUAACUGUCAGCGCUGCCUCUUCCAGCUUCUAAUUUUUGCAACAUUACAUGACAAACUAGUCUCACUCCCAUCAUUCAUACAGAAUACAGGACUAGAAAUACUCCCUAUCAUUAUCCAGUCUUGAAGGAGAGCUGCUCCCGAAUGUUUCUUGGAAAAAUAAAAAACAAACAACGUCUCUACCUGAUUUGCCUGGUGGCUUAUAAAUCAGCCACUCACAGUAACGCACACACAAGAAAAGCUUCGGAUGAAGGACAAACGUCAAAAAGGGCCCGAGUUAAUGUGAAACACGCGUCAGGCAGCGACGGGAAUGGCACGCCAGGCCUUACCUG
Molecule: long non-coding RNA, 2968 nt
Organism: Falco peregrinus (peregrine falcon)
Lineage: Eukaryota; Metazoa; Chordata; Aves; Falconiformes; Falconidae
Exons: 3
Source: RefSeq, a predicted model, not a curated record